CCCACGGGCCGCUGCCGCCGCCGCCCACGGGACUCCGCCAGCGGCCGCGCCGUGCGCCACAGCUCGGAGGGUCCUGCAGCCGCACGGAGCCUCAGCGACCCGUCCCCAGCACCCCGACGCCCAUCCGCGCUGGGCUUCCGCUGCAGGAGGCGGCCCGGCCCGCAGCCCGAGAGUGAGAGAGAGAGGUCUGAAGAAUGAUAGAUUAAUCUGGGAAGGUGAAUGACGCUAAAGGUGGAAAUACAAUAGCAGAAUACUAACAAAUUGAGAGGAUGGAGGGAAGAUGUGAUGUGAACAACAAAGAAAAUUACAGAUAAGCAG
Molecule: long non-coding RNA, 318 nt
Organism: Terrapene triunguis (Three-toed box turtle)
Lineage: Eukaryota; Metazoa; Chordata; Testudines; Emydidae
Exons: 3
Source: RefSeq, a predicted model, not a curated record